This 130-nucleotide ribosomal RNA is filed under the name uncultured bacterium. RNAcentral's name for it is "partial 16S ribosomal RNA". It matches the Rfam family "Bacterial small subunit ribosomal RNA", at positions 378 to 525 of the family's 1533-position model. The record is from RNAcentral.
GCAGCCUGAUCAGCCAUGCCGCGUGAGUGAUGAAGGCCCUAGGGUUGUAAAGCUCUUUCACCGGUGAAGAUAAUGACGGUAACCGGAGAAGAAGCCCCGGCUAACUUCGUGCCAGCAGCCGCGGUAAUCA